Small nucleolar RNA from Lotus japonicus, 107 nucleotides. Lineage: Eukaryota; Viridiplantae; Streptophyta; Magnoliopsida; Fabales; Fabaceae. The record is from RefSeq and is a predicted model, not a curated record.
AGAUUGUGUUGAGGACACUUCCUCAAGAGCUUCUUGAAAUGCUCUCAAGCUUCAUAAAGAUUCUCAUCUGAGGAUUGCACAAAAGUCAUGAUGUCAUUCUUAAAUUU